UGGAUUUCCAUGCUACUAUGAUGUUGCCAAUACGUCAAAAAAUAUUUAUCAAACGACAGUGCCCCCCCGCCGAUGAUCCAAUGCCCCUCCAGUAGAUCUGCUCUGACGCCGACUCUGAACAAGUGGAAGGACCAGGAAGUGAUCUUCCUCAGCUAAAGCGACGCUGCGACACAAUGGCAUCUCUUGUCCAUGACUCCAUACUGAAUGACGGCAACAGGAAUUCAUAGGGUCAUUAUGCAUCCUACGAUGGAAUGUGCAAAGAAAAGUCAAAAUCUUUAUGUGGUUUAAACAAGUAAAUAAUAAAGAAGAGAUAUAAAUAAAACAUACUGAUGGGACAACUUAUAUGACAAAUUUAUGAAAAAAAAAGGAAAAUCUAUCUGCAGGCAUGACUCAGUAAAACAUUUGGUUGUAUUCUGAAUGGGAAGAAGGAAAUCAUGCAUUUUCUAUUCAAUUUGUAAUUUCAGGGGCAUGUUGAACUGUCAUCUUUUACUGGUCGUUCCAAACCUAUAUGAGACAAACGAUCACAGAAGAAGAUAUUUAGAAGAAUAUUGCAGCUGUUUUUGUCUAUAUAAAACAUAAACUGACAGAGUUGUCUCAAAAAUCCAUUUGGAUGUUGAUGCUUGGUUCUGACAGUGACUCUUUGAACCUCUGCUUGCACUUUAUCCUUUACUAAUAGACCCUUUAAACAGUUUCCUUCAAGAACUUUCUCCUGAAAAAAUAACCACUUUAAUUCUGUCAUUCUGCUUUCAUCUCUUCUGCAGUCACAUGACAUCAGAUCCUUUCCUCUGCCUCUCCGCUGCAGUAAAAUCCUCUGAUUUGUGUCUUACCAGGCAAGUUUAGAUGUUGAUACUCUGUCCCAUUUUUCCUUUUCCCUCCAUACCUACACUGCCACAAUGGGACAGUUUUUUCCAGUUAUUUAUUUAAUUUUUAAACAGUGUUCAGAGUUAUCUAAAAAAAUAAGUAAUAAGAAUGCCAUACCUGAUAUAUCUAAUUUUCUUAUAACAUGACAUGUAUUAAAAAAUAUGGUUCUGACUCUUCCUUGUCAUAUUGUUUAACUUAUUUUGUUUAAAUGUAAUGUCACUACAUGUACAUAUAUUAUGUAUUUUGGUCAAUAAACACUACUAAAACUGAAUUCCAAUCAAAUAUGUGAGUGACUUUAUGUGUUAAUUUGUAGAAUAAACAGGAUUGACACUUUGACCAAUAAGGUCCAUUAACUAAUUAACUAUUUAAUUAUUUAUUUGGUUGCUGUAUAAGGAUUUUUAGACAUACUUGAAAUUAUAUAAUUCAAUCUGUAUGCCAG
Molecule: long non-coding RNA, 1300 nt
Organism: Cyprinus carpio carpio
Lineage: Eukaryota; Metazoa; Chordata; Actinopteri; Cypriniformes; Cyprinidae
Source: Ensembl